RNAcentral lists this ribosomal RNA (481 nucleotides) under uncultured bacterium. RNAcentral's name for it is "partial 16S ribosomal RNA". It matches the Rfam family "Bacterial small subunit ribosomal RNA", at positions 28 to 507 of the family's 1533-position model. The record is from RNAcentral.
GAUGAACGCUGGCGGCGUGCUUAACACAUGCAAGUCGAACGAAGCAUUUGCGACAGAUUUUUUCGGAAUGAAGUUGCUUAUGACUGAGUGGCGGACGGGUGAGUAACGCGUGGGUAACCUGCCUUGUACUGGGGGAUAGCAGCUGGAAGCGGCUGGUAAUACCGCAUAAGCGCACAAUGUUGCAUGACAUGGUGUGAAAAACUCCGGUGGUAUAAGAUGGACCCGCGUCUGAUUAGCUAGUUGGUGAGAUAACAGCCCACCAAGGCGACGAUCAGUAGCCGACCUGAGAGGGUGACCGGCCACAUUGGGACUGAGACACGGCCCAGACUCCUACGGGAAGCAGCAGUGGGGAAUAUUGCACAAUGGAGGAAACUCUGAUGCAGCGACGCCGCGUGAGUGAAGAAGUAAUUCGUUAUGUAAAGCUCUAUCAGCAGGGAAGAUAGUGACGGUACCUGACGAAGAAGCUCCGGCUAAAUACGUG